RNAcentral lists this ribosomal RNA (301 nucleotides) under uncultured bacterium. RNAcentral describes it as "partial 16S ribosomal RNA". It matches the Rfam family "Bacterial small subunit ribosomal RNA", at positions 509 to 809 of the family's 1533-position model. The record is from RNAcentral.
CAGCAGCCGCGGUAAUACGUAGGGUGCAAGCGUUAAUCGGAAUUACUGGGCGUAAAGCGUGCGCAGGCGGUUAUAUAAGACAGAUGUGAAAUCCCCGGGCUCAACCUGGGAACUGCAUUUGUGACUGUAUAGCUAGAGUACGGCAGAGGGGGAUGGAAUUCCGCGUGUAGCAGUGAAAUGCGUAGAUAUGCGGAGGAACACCGAUGGCGAAGGCAAUCCCCUGGGCUUGUACUGACGCUCAUGCACGAAAGCGUGGGGAGCAAACAGGAUUAGAUACCCCCGUAGUCCCUGUCUCUUAUAA